RNAcentral lists this ribosomal RNA (647 nucleotides) under Labidocera rotunda. RNAcentral's name for it is "12S ribosomal RNA". Lineage: Eukaryota; Metazoa; Arthropoda; Copepoda; Calanoida; Pontellidae. The record is from RNAcentral.
UAUUUGUUUAGUUGUAGCAACUAAGGAAGAAAAUUUAAAUUUACAUGCACAAGGUUGUUUAAAUCGCAGUAGGAAAAAUUUUUAGUAAAAUUAUUUUUCAAGAGAGGCUAAUAAAGUGCCAGCAACCGCGGUUACACUUUUUCUCAUUCCUUAUUCUUAUUUGAUAAAAAUAUUUUAUUAGUUGAUUUAAGUCGUAAUUAUCAAAUUUAUAAAAUAUUAUCUGAUUUCGAAAAUAAUUUAAUAAACCGGAGUUAGACUUCUGCUAUAAUUAUUGUUAAAAAAUCUAAGAAGUAAAUGAUUAUUCAUAAAAUUUAACCAACAUGGCGGCGCUUUAUCCCUGGCAGAGGAGCUUGAUGUUUAAUUCGAUAAACCUCGUUUAUUCUUACUAAAAUUUAUCUUGUGUGUGGUUGUUUAGAAAAGGCUUUCAGGCUGAUUCUCACUUCAAAUUAUAUGCAGAAAUAUUUUAGGACAAUUAAGCUACUAUUAUGUCAUUAUUCAGAACAUUACAUCAGAAAGGAUUUGCUAGUAAUUUGUUUAUUUUAAGAACAAAUAAAAAGGUUUUAAAGUGUGCACAUAUCGUCCGUCGCUCUCAGGAAUGAGAUAAGUCGUAGCAUAGUGGGGGUUUUAGAAAAAGCCCCUUAAAUAAA